UAGGGAAUCUUCCGCAAUGGACGAAAGUCUGACGGAGCAACGCCGCGUGAGUGAUGAAGGUUCUCGGAUCGUAAAGCUCUGUUGCCAGGGAAGAACGGCUAGGGGAGUAACUGCCCUUGGCAUGACGGUACCUGAGAAGAAAGCCCCGGCUAACUACGUGCCAGCAGCCGCGGUAAUACGUAGGGGGCAAGCGUUGUCCGGAAUUAUUGGGCGUAAAGCGCGCGCAGGCGGCUGUUUAAGUUUGGUGUUUAAGCCUGGGGCUCAACCCCGGAUCGCACUGAAAACUGGACGGCUUGAGUGUAGGAGAGGAAAGUGGAAUUCCACGUGUAGCGGUGAAAUGCGUAGAGAUGUGGAGGAACACCAGUGGCGAAGGCGACUUUCUGGCCUAUAACUGACGCUGAGGCGCGAAAGCGUGGGGAGCAAACAGGAUUAGAUACCCUGGUAGUCCACGCCGUAAACGAUGAGUGCUAGGUGUUAGGGUUUCAAUACCCUUGGUGCCGAAGUUAACACAGUAA
Molecule: ribosomal RNA, 515 nt
Filed under: uncultured Bacillota bacterium
Lineage: Bacteria; Bacillati; Bacillota
Description: bacterial SSU rRNA
Rfam family: Bacterial small subunit ribosomal RNA
Source: RNAcentral